Molecule: unclassified non-coding RNA, 302 nt
Filed under: plant metagenome
Description: partial contains 5.8S ribosomal RNA, internal transcribed spacer 2, and large subunit ribosomal RNA
Rfam family: 5.8S ribosomal RNA (bases 1-105)
Source: RNAcentral
GAAAUGCGAUAAGUAGUGUGAAUUGCAGAAUUCAGUGAAUCAUCGAAUCUUUGAACGCACAUUGCGCCCUUUGGUAUUCCUUAGGGCAUGCCUGUUCGAGCGUCAUUUAAACCUUCAAGCUCAGCUUGGUGAUGGGUGACUGUCCUCCCCUCGCGGGGGGACUCGCCUCAAAAACAUUGGCGGCCGGUACAUUGGCUUCGAGCGCAGCAGAAACGCGGUCUCGAGUCCGGUGGAUCGGCUCCCAUAAGCCUUCUUUUUUAUUUUGACCUCGGAUCAGGUAGGGAUACCCGCUGAACUUAAGC